This 306-nucleotide ribosomal RNA is filed under the name uncultured Epichloe. RNAcentral describes it as "partial large subunit ribosomal RNA". It matches the Rfam family "Eukaryotic large subunit ribosomal RNA", at positions 40 to 350 of the family's 3401-position model. The record is from RNAcentral. Lineage: Eukaryota; Fungi; Ascomycota; Sordariomycetes; Hypocreales; Clavicipitaceae.
AUAUCAAUAAGGCGAGGAACAGAAACCAACAGGGAUUGCCCUAGUAACGGCGAGUGAAGCGGCAACAGCUCAAAUUUGAAAUCUGGCCUUGGCCCGAGUUGUAAUUUGCAGAGGAUGCUUCUGGCGCGGCACCUUCCGAGUUCCCUGGAACGGGACGCCACAGAGGGUGAGAGCCCCGUAUGGUCGGAUGCCUAGCCUGUGUGAAGCCCCUUCGACGAGUCGAGUAGUUUGGGAAUGCUGCUCAAAAUGGGAGGUAAAUUCCUUCUAAAGCUAAAUAUUGGCCAGAGACCGAUAGCGCACAAAGUA